This 617-nucleotide unclassified non-coding RNA is filed under the name Trichoderma paraviridescens. RNAcentral describes it as "sequence contains 18S rRNA gene, ITS1, 5.8S rRNA gene, ITS2, 28S rRNA gene". The stretch from base 228 to 381 matches the Rfam family "5.8S ribosomal RNA". Lineage: Eukaryota; Fungi; Ascomycota; Sordariomycetes; Hypocreales; Hypocreaceae. The record is from RNAcentral.
UCGUAACAAGGUCUCCGUUGGUGAACCAGCGGAGGGAUCAUUACCGAGUUUACAACUCCCAAACCCAAUGUGAACCAUACCAAACUGUUGCCUCGGCGGGGUCACGCCCCGGGUGCGUCGCAGCCCCGGAACCAGGCGCCCGCCGGAGGGACCAACCAAACUCUUUCUGUAGUCCCCUCGCGGACGUUAUUUCUUACAGCUCUGAGCAAAAAUUCAAAAUGAAUCAAAACUUUCAACAACGGAUCUCUUGGUUCUGGCAUCGAUGAAGAACGCAGCGAAAUGCGAUAAGUAAUGUGAAUUGCAGAAUUCAGUGAAUCAUCGAAUCUUUGAACGCACAUUGCGCCCGCCAGUAUUCUGGCGGGCAUGCCUGUCCGAGCGUCAUUUCAACCCUCGAACCCCUCCGGGGGUCCGGCGUUGGGGAUCGGGAACCCCUAAGACGGGAUCCCGGCCCCGAAAUACAGUGGCGGUCUCGCCGCAGCCUCUCAUGCGCAGUAGUUUGCACAACUCGCACCGGGAGCGCGGCGCGUCCACGUCCGUAAAACACCCAACUUCUGAAAUGUUGACCUCGGAUCAGGUAGGAAUACCCGCUGAACUUAAGCAUAUCAAUAAGCGGAGGA